UAGUCCACGCCCUAAACGAUGUAUGCUUGGUGUUGGAACGUAAGUUCUAGUGCCGGAGGUAACCCGUUAAGCAUACCACCUGGGGAGUACGAUCGCAAGGUUGAAACUCAAAGGAAUUGACGGGGGCCCGCACAAGCGGUGGAUCAUGUGGUUUAAUUCGAUGCAACGCGAAGAACCUUACCCAGGCUUGAAGUGCUAGUGACCGCUGCCGAAAGGUAGCUUUUCUUCGGAACAUUAGCAGAGGUGCUGCAUGGCUGUCGUCAGCUCGUGCCGUGAGGUGUUGGGUUAAGUCCCGCAACGAGCGCAACCCUUAUCUUUAGUUGCCAUCAGGUUAAGCUGGGAACUCUAAAGAGACUGCCCGCGUAAGCGGAGAGGAAGGUGGGGACGACGUCAAGUCAUCAUGGCCCUUAUGUCUGGGGCUACACACGUGAUACAAUGGUGCACACAAUGGGCGAAGCCGCAAGGUGGAGGAAAUCCAUAAAGUGCAUCUCAGUUCGGA
Molecule: ribosomal RNA, 499 nt
Filed under: uncultured bacterium
Lineage: Bacteria
Description: bacterial SSU rRNA
Rfam family: Bacterial small subunit ribosomal RNA
Source: RNAcentral